AUGAACGCUGGCGGCGUGCCUAAUACAUGCAAGUCGAGCGAACAGACGAGGAGCUUGCUCCUCUGACGUUAGCGGCGGACGGGUGAGUAACACGUGGAUAACCUACCUAUAAGACUGGGAUAACCUCGGGAAACCGGAGCUAAUACCGGAUAAUAUAUUGAACCGCAUGGUUCAAUAGUGAAAGACGGUUUUGCUGUCACUUAUAGAUGGAUCCGCGCCGCAUUAGCUAGUUGGUAAGGUAACGGCUUACCAAGGCAACGAUGCGUAGCCGACCUGAGAGGGUGAUCGGCCACACUGGAACUGAGACACGGUCCAGACUCCUACGGGAGGCAGCAGUAGGGAAUCUUCCGCAAUGGGCGAAAGCCUGACGGAGCAACGCCGCGUGAGUGAUGAAGGUCUUCGGAUCGUAAAACUCUGUUAUUAGGGAAGAACAAAUGUGUAAGUAACUAUGCACGUCUUGACGGUACCUAAUCAGAAAGCCACGGCUAACUACGUG
This 496-nucleotide ribosomal RNA is filed under the name uncultured bacterium. RNAcentral describes it as "partial 16S ribosomal RNA". It matches the Rfam family "Bacterial small subunit ribosomal RNA", at positions 29 to 507 of the family's 1533-position model. The record is from RNAcentral.